UUCCACUUCAAAUGAACCAAAAAUAGCGUGAUACCUGCUUCGCUUACUUUUUUAGAAAUAAACUUAGCUAAAAAAAGUAACUAGGCUUCAAACUUGAAAUCUCAUGUACCAACUAUUAAGUUCUUCGCCAUUUAUACUAGGAACGGUCGGUGCAAUAAAUAAAGUUAUUUACAAGGAAAUAGACUUCGACUACCAACAGUUACUACUAAUCUCGAUUCAAUAAUAUGAGACCACUACAACAGAAUUAGAUUAUAGGGACACAUGUUUGGGACACUUUUGAGUAAAUGUUCCAUUUAUGCUAAAACUUAAAAAAAAUAUAUGCUAAUGCCUAAAUAUAAAGCCCAAUCCAACUAAAAAUAAAAGAUUACUCUACUCAACCCACCACACCCAGUCCAUUUGGCCCGAUUACAAACAGAAAAGAAAAAAAAAAAGAAAAAUCAAUUGCCAUCUUUUCUUCUCUCUUCACUCAAUUUACUGAAAUUCUAGACGAAAAGCCUUUUCUGUCAUUCUCCUCCGCCACCGCAGCCAACGAGAUAAAGUUUCGACGGUUGCUAAAUGCUUAAAUAAGUGUUCGUAAAUUAGCAGCACUCUUUUAGGUUAUAGCGACACUUUUUAACUGUCACUAUAUACCUAGCGACCCCACAUAUAGCAACACUUUUUAAAAGUGCCGGUAAUUUUAGUUAGCAGUACUUUUUUGACAUGUAUCUAUAUUUAAAAGUGUCGCUAUAGACCGUUUUUGUUGUAGUGGACCUGCCCAAAAAU
Molecule: long non-coding RNA, 762 nt
Filed under: Ananas comosus (pineapple)
Lineage: Eukaryota; Viridiplantae; Streptophyta; Magnoliopsida; Poales; Bromeliaceae
Description: long non-coding RNA (ACOM_LNC006332)
Source: RNAcentral